CAGUCGCCGCGGUAAUACGAAGGGGGCUAGCGUUGCUCGGAAUUACUGGGCGUAAAGGGAGCGUAGGCGGAUCGUUAAGUUGGGGGUGAAAGCCCGGGGCUCAACCUCGGAAUUGCUUUCAAUACUGGCGAUCUUGAGUAUGGAAGAGGUAUGUGGAACUCCGAGUGUAGAGGUGAAAUUCGUAGAUAUGCGGAGGAACACCGAUGGCGAAGGCAAUCCCCUGGACCUGUACUGACGCUCAUGCACGAAAGCGUGGGGAGCAAACAGGAUUAGAUACCCGAGUAGUCCCUGUCUCUUAUAC
RNAcentral lists this ribosomal RNA (301 nucleotides) under uncultured bacterium. RNAcentral's name for it is "partial 16S ribosomal RNA". It matches the Rfam family "Bacterial small subunit ribosomal RNA", at positions 509 to 807 of the family's 1533-position model. The record is from RNAcentral.